RNAcentral lists this long non-coding RNA (954 nucleotides) under Anas platyrhynchos platyrhynchos (common mallard). RNAcentral's name for it is "lncRNA (ENSAPLG00000028808.1)". Lineage: Eukaryota; Metazoa; Chordata; Aves; Anseriformes; Anatidae. The record is from RNAcentral.
AGUUUAGUAACAGCCAAGAGGAGUUAAUGACUUAACUACUAACUUGCUUUUUUCUUCAGUCCUUAGUGAAAUGAGCUUGUGAAACUACAGAUUUGUUUCAUAAGUGUGGUAGCACCUAAAAGAGAGACUGAGAGUACAGCUCAGUUUCCAAUGGUCAAAUGCCCUCCUUGCUGGGCAAUUAGUGUGUGACAAAAGGAAAGAAUUGAGGCAGAAAGAGGUAGAGAGACAGCAUCAAUAAUGGGAAUUAUAUUGAAUAACCAUCUCUUCCAGGCUCAUCCAUAAGCCUCAUCUUUCUCUUCAGAUUUUUUAGAGAGGAUCUUGCUGACAACCAAAUUGGAAGUGGGAGGUUAAGCCUGAGUGUUCAGGGGAAUAAGAUGGCAGCCCAAAACCUCGAGAUACCUCUCUCAUGUGGAGAAGAAUUGCCACAGGACUCUUGACAAGGGGAUGGAUAUGGAUUGGCCUCAGACAGCCUGUGAAGAAUGUAGCAGGUCCUCCCAUCUUCUUGCUUUCACCUGACAGAUGAUACAGAAACAUGAUCAUUAUGAUUUCCAAUGACUCAUGCUCAGCAGCACAAAGUCAAAUUGAUUACCAAACCAUCCUCCAGGAAAUACUGGCCCUGAUCUGAACAUGCAUGGAAAGCCUCAAUUACAAGCUUCACCCCUCUGCUUUGAAAACAUGGUGAUGGCCACCCAGUAUGAAGAAGGCUUCACCAAUGUCAACAGCUGGAUAUUUUUAUUGUUGAAACUAAUAUCUCCCAGCAUGGUCAUGCCUAGCAGUGCAUUGAAUGGAGGGUCACCUGUCCUGGGAUCAGAAGUACAGAUGUUCCUUCACAUGACUGCUCUGUAUGGUCUAAUACAAGAGGUAUUCCUGGAAUACAGCAAGCACGUGGAUCCCUGCACCAAGGUGACAUUGAUGGACAGUACUGCCUGUUCACUUAGCUGGAGGACUCUGUGA